GUGGGGAAUCUUGCGCAAUGGGCGAAAGCCUGACGCAGCCAUGCCGCGUGGAUGAUGAAGGUCUUAGGAUUGUAAAAUCCUUUCACCGGUGAAGAUAAUGACUGUAGCCGGAGAAGACGCCCCGGCUAACUUCGUGCCAGCAGCCGCGGUAAUACGAAGGGGGCUAGCGUUGCUCGGAUUUACUGGGCGUAAAGGGCGCGUAGGCGGACAUUUAAGUCAGGGGUGAAAUCCCGGGGCUCAACCUCGGAACUGCCUUUGAUACUGGGUGUCUUGAGUAUGAGAGAGGUGUGUGGAACUCCGAGUGUAGAGGUGAAAUUCGUAGAUAUUCGGAAGAACACCAGUGGCGAAGGCGACACACUGGCUCAUUACUGACGCUGAGGCGCGAAAGCGUGGGGAGCAAACAGGAUUAGAAACCCGUGUAGUCC
This 425-nucleotide ribosomal RNA is filed under the name uncultured bacterium. Its description in RNAcentral is "partial 16S ribosomal RNA". It matches the Rfam family "Bacterial small subunit ribosomal RNA", at positions 354 to 796 of the family's 1533-position model. The record is from RNAcentral.